RNAcentral lists this ribosomal RNA (498 nucleotides) under Acartia negligens. Its description in RNAcentral is "bacterial SSU rRNA". It matches the Rfam family "Eukaryotic small subunit ribosomal RNA", at positions 1367 to 1808 of the family's 1831-position model. Lineage: Eukaryota; Metazoa; Arthropoda; Copepoda; Calanoida; Acartiidae. The record is from RNAcentral.
CUACUAGACACCGGCCAGUCAUUCAACGGCAGGCUGGCUUCGGAUAGCUUCGCGCUGGGCUGGAGCUUAGCUAAUGUCGUUGUAGGCUUGGUGACUCUUCUUACAAGGACUGGCGGUUAUUAGCCGCACGAAAUAGAGCAAUAACAGGUCUGUGAUGCCCUUAGAUGUUCUGGGCCGCACACGCGCUACACUGGAGCUAUCAGCUAGUUUUUCCCUGGGCGAGAGCUCCGGGUAAACUGUUGAAUCAGCUUCCUGGCAGGGAUCGGAGCUUGCAAUUAUUCUCCGUGAACCAGGAAUGCCCAGUAGGAUCGAGUUAUCAGCUUGAUUCGAUUAAGUCCCUGCCCUUUGUACACACCGCCCGUCGCUACUACCGAUUGAAUGUAUUAGUGAGAUCCAUGGACGGCUACAGGCAAGCUUUGACGAACUAGUCGCGUGGCUGGAAGUCGAUCAAGCUGAUGCAUUUAGAGGAAGUAAAAGUCGUAACAAGGUAUCCCGUAG